This 445-nucleotide ribosomal RNA is filed under the name uncultured bacterium. Its description in RNAcentral is "bacterial SSU rRNA". It matches the Rfam family "Bacterial small subunit ribosomal RNA", at positions 354 to 796 of the family's 1533-position model. The record is from RNAcentral.
GUAGGGAAUAUUGGGCAAUGGAUGCAAGUCUGACCCAGCCAUCCCGCGUGCCGGAAGAAGGCCCUCAGAGUUGUAAACGGCUUUUGACGGUGAAGAAUCGACAGGAUGCGUCCUGUUUUGACGGUAGCCGUUGAAUAAGCACCGGCUAACUCCGUGCCAGCAGCCGCGGUAAUACGGAGGGUGCGAGCGUUGUCCGGAUUUAUUGGGUUUAAAGGGUGCGUAGGCUGGAAGGUCAGUCAGCGGUGAAAAGCUGUCGCUUAACGAUAGUCUUGCCGCAGAUACUUCCUUUCUUGGAUGAGGAGGAGGCCACUGGAACGGAUGGUGUAGCGGUGAAAUGCAUAGAUAUCAUCCAGAACACCGAUUGCGAAGGCAGGUGGCUGUACCUUAAUCGACGCUGAUGCACGAAAGCAUGGGGAGCAAACAGGAUUAGAAACCCUGGUAGUCC